RNAcentral lists this ribosomal RNA (268 nucleotides) under uncultured Bacteroides sp. RNAcentral describes it as "partial 16S ribosomal RNA". It matches the Rfam family "Bacterial small subunit ribosomal RNA", at positions 75 to 339 of the family's 1533-position model. The record is from RNAcentral. Lineage: Bacteria; Pseudomonadati; Bacteroidota; Bacteroidia; Bacteroidales; Bacteroidaceae.
UUAGCUUGCUAAGACUGAUGGCGACCGGCGCACGGGUGAGUAACACGUAUCCAACCUGCCGUCUACUCUUGGACAGCCUUCUGAAAGGAAGAUUAAUACAAGAUGGCAUCAUGAGUCCGCAUGUUCACAUGAUUAAAGGUAUUCCGGUAGACGAUGGGGAUGCGUUCCAUUAGAUAGUUGGCGGGGUAACGGCCCACCAAGGCGACGAUCGGUAGCCGACCUGAGAGGGUGAUCGGCCACAUUGGGACUGAGACACGGCCCAAACUCC